Molecule: ribosomal RNA, 496 nt
Filed under: Pantoea sp.
Lineage: Bacteria; Pseudomonadati; Pseudomonadota; Gammaproteobacteria; Enterobacterales; Erwiniaceae
Description: bacterial SSU rRNA
Rfam family: Bacterial small subunit ribosomal RNA
Source: RNAcentral
AGCACAGAGGAGCUUGCUCCUCGGGUGACGAGUGGCGGACGGGUGAGUAAUGUCUGGGGAUCUGCCCGAUAGAGGGGGAUAACCACUGGAAACGGUGGCUAAUACCGCAUAACGUCGCAAGACCAAAGAGGGGGACCUUCGGGCCUCUCACUAUCGGAUGAACCCAGAUGGGAUUAGCUAGUAGGCGGGGUAAUGGCCCACCUAGGCGACGAUCCCUAGCUGGUCUGAGAGGAUGACCAGCCACACUGGAACUGAGACACGGUCCAGACUCCUACGGGAGGCAGCAGUGGGGAAUAUUGCACAAUGGGCGCAAGCCUGAUGCAGCCAUGCCGCGUGUAUGAAGAAGGCCUUCGGGUUGUAAAGUACUUUCAGCGGGGAGGAAGGCGAUGUGGUUAAUAACCGCGUCGAUUGACGUUACCCGCAGAAGAAGCACCGGCUAACUCCGUGCCAGCAGCCGCGGUAAUACGGAGGGUGCAAGCGUUAAUCGGAAUUACUG